AUCGAACGAGGUGAAAAGGGAAUCAGGUGUAAAUCCUGAACAGACCCACUGCUGUAAGCUUCAUUAAACUUUCCGGAUAAAUUCUACAGUUGUCCACUGUCCGUAAUGGAUGGGAAGGACUUCCGGAAAGGAAGCGAGUCAGAAGACCUGCCUGCAAAGUC
RNAcentral lists this non-coding RNA (161 nucleotides) under Bacteroides oleiciplenus. The record is from RNAcentral. Lineage: Bacteria; Pseudomonadati; Bacteroidota; Bacteroidia; Bacteroidales; Bacteroidaceae.